RNAcentral lists this ribosomal RNA (159 nucleotides) under Porodaedalea chrysoloma. RNAcentral describes it as "5.8S ribosomal RNA". It matches the Rfam family "5.8S ribosomal RNA". From Rfam's summary of the family: 5.8S ribosomal RNA (5.8S rRNA) is a component of the large subunit of the eukaryotic ribosome. It is transcribed by RNA polymerase I as part of the 45S precursor that also contains 18S and 28S rRNA. Lineage: Eukaryota; Fungi; Basidiomycota; Agaricomycetes; Hymenochaetales; Hymenochaetaceae. The record is from RNAcentral.
AUGAAAUACAACUUUCAACAACGGAUCUCUUGGCUCUCGCAUCGAUGAAGAACGCAGCGAAAUGCGAUAAGUAAUGUGAAUUGCAGAAUUCAGUGAAUCAUCGAAUCUUUGAACGCACCUUGCGCCCCUUGGUAUUCCGAGGGGCAUGCCUGUUUGAGU